RNAcentral lists this ribosomal RNA (706 nucleotides) under uncultured Thermoproteales archaeon. RNAcentral's name for it is "bacterial SSU rRNA". It matches the Rfam family "Archaeal small subunit ribosomal RNA", at positions 215 to 922 of the family's 1478-position model. Lineage: Archaea; Thermoproteati; Thermoproteota; Thermoprotei; Thermoproteales. The record is from RNAcentral.
GCACGGCCCAUCAGGUAGUUGGCGGGUUAAAGGCCCGCCAAGCCGAAGACGGGUAGGGGCGGUGAGAGCCGCGAGCCCCGAGAUCGGCACUGAGACAAGGGCCGAGGCCCUACGGGGUGCAGCAGGCGCGAAUACUCCGCAAUGCGGGCAACCGCGACGGGGCUACCCCGAGUGCCGGGCGAAGAGCCCGGCUUUUGCCCGGUCUAAAAAGCCGGGAGAAUAAGCGGGGGGCAAGUCUGGUGUCAGCCGCCGCGGUAAUACCAGCUCCGCGAGUGGUCGGGGUGUUUACUGGGCUUAAAGCGCCCGUAGCCGGCCCGGCAAGUCGCUCCUGAAAUCCCCGGGCUCAACCCGGGGGCGGGGGGCGAUACUGCCGGGCUAGGGGGCGGGAGAGGCCGCCGGUACUCCGGGGGUAGGGGCGAAAUCCGUUAAUCCCCGGAGGACCACCAGUGGUGAAAGCGGGCGGCCAGAACGCGCCCGACGGUGAGGGGCGAAAGCCGGGGGAGCAAAGGGGAUUAGAUACCCCUGUAGUCCCGGCCGUAAACGAUGCGGGCUAGCUGUCGGCCGGGCUUAGGGCCCGGCCGGUGGCGAAGGGAAACCGUUAAGCCCGCCGCCUGGGGAGUACGGCCGCAAGGCUGAAACUUAAAGGAAUUGGCGGGGGGGCACCACAAGGGGUGAAGCUUGCGGCUUAAUUGGAGUCAACGCCGGG